This 2900-nucleotide ribosomal RNA is filed under the name Klebsiella pneumoniae. RNAcentral describes it as "bacterial LSU rRNA". It matches the Rfam family "Bacterial large subunit ribosomal RNA". The record is from RNAcentral. Lineage: Bacteria; Pseudomonadati; Pseudomonadota; Gammaproteobacteria; Enterobacterales; Enterobacteriaceae.
UUAAGCGACUAAGCGUACACGGUGGAUGCCCUGGCAGUCAGAGGCGAUGAAGGACGUGCUAAUCUGCGAAAAGCGUCGGUAAGGUGAUAUGAACCGUUAUAACCGGCGAUGUCCGAAUGGGGAAACCCAGUGCAAUUCGUUGCACUAUCGUUAACUGAAUACAUAGGUUAACGAGGCGAACCGGGGGAACUGAAACAUCUAAGUACCCCGAGGAAAAGAAAUCAACCGAGAUUCCCCCAGUAGCGGCGAGCGAACGGGGAGCAGCCCAGAGUCUGAAUCAGCUUGUGUGUUAGUGGAACGGUCUGGAAAGUCCGACGGUACAGGGUGAUAGUCCCGUACACCAAAAUGCACAGGCUGUGAACUCGAAGAGUAGGGCGGGACACGUGGUAUCCUGUCUGAAUAUGGGGGGACCAUCCUCCAAGGCUAAAUACUCCUGACUGACCGAUAGUGAACCAGUACCGUGAGGGAAAGGCGAAAAGAACCCCGGCGAGGGGAGUGAAAAAGAACCUGAAACCGUGUACGUACAAGCAGUGGGAGCACCUUCGGGUGUGACUGCGUACCUUUUGUAUAAUGGGUCAGCGACUUAUAUUCUGUAGCAAGGUUAACCGUAUAGGGGAGCCGCAGGGAAACCGAGUCUUAACUGGGCGUUAAGUUGCAGGGUAUAGACCCGAAACCCGGUGAUCUAGCCAUGGGCAGGUUGAAGGUUGGGUAACACUAACUGGAGGACCGAACCGACUAAUGUUGAAAAAUUAGCGGAUGACUUGUGGCUGGGGGUGAAAGGCCAAUCAAACCGGGAGAUAGCUGGUUCUCCCCGAAAGCUAUUUAGGUAGCGCCUCGUGAACUCAUCUUCGGGGGUAGAGCACUGUUUCGGCUAGGGGGUCAUCCCGACUUACCAACCCGAUGCAAACUACGAAUACCGAAGAAUGUUAUCACGGGAGACACACGGCGGGUGCUAACGUCCGUCGUGAAGAGGGAAACAACCCAGACCGCCAGCUAAGGUCCCAAAGUCAUGGUUAAGUGGGAAACGAUGUGGGAAGGCACAGACAGCCAGGAUGUUGGCUUAGAAGCAGCCAUCAUUUAAAGAAAGCGUAAUAGCUCACUGGUCGAGUCGGCCUGCGCGGAAGAUGUAACGGGGCUAAACCAUGCACCGAAGCUGCGGCAGCGACACUAUGUGUUGUUGGGUAGGGGAGCGUUCUGUAAGCCUGCGAAGGUGUGCUGUGAGGCAUGCUGGAGGUAUCAGAAGUGCGAAUGCUGACAUAAGUAACGAUAAAGCGGGUGAAAAGCCCGCUCGCCGGAAGACCAAGGGUUCCUGUCCAACGUUAAUCGGGGCAGGGUGAGUCGACCCCUAAGGCGAGGCCGAAAGGCGUAGUCGAUGGGAAACAGGUUAAUAUUCCUGUACUUGGUGUUACUGCGAAGGGGGGACGGAGAAGGCUAUGUUAGCCGGGCGACGGUUGUCCCGGUUUAAGCAUGUAGGCUGGUUAUCCAGGCAAAUCCGGAUAAUCAAGGCUGAGGUGUGAUGACGAGGCACUACGGUGCUGAAGUAACAAAUGCCCUGCUUCCAGGAAAAGCCUCUAAGCAUCAGGUAACAUCAAAUCGUACCCCAAACCGACACAGGUGGUCAGGUAGAGAAUACCAAGGCGCUUGAGAGAACUCGGGUGAAGGAACUAGGCAAAAUGGUGCCGUAACUUCGGGAGAAGGCACGCUGGUGUGUAGGUGAAGUCCCUGCGGAUGGAGCUGAGACCAGUCGAAGAUACCAGCUGGCUGCAACUGUUUAUUAAAAACACAGCACUGUGCAAACACGAAAGUGGACGUAUACGGUGUGACGCCUGCCCGGUGCCGGAAGGUUAAUUGAUGGGGUUAUCCGUAAGGAGAAGCUCUUGAUCGAAGCCCCGGUAAACGGCGGCCGUAACUAUAACGGUCCUAAGGUAGCGAAAUUCCUUGUCGGGUAAGUUCCGACCUGCACGAAUGGCGUAAUGAUGGCCAGGCUGUCUCCACCCGAGACUCAGUGAAAUUGAACUCGCUGUGAAGAUGCAGUGUACCCGCGGCAAGACGGAAAGACCCCGUGAACCUUUACUAUAGCUUGACACUGAACAUUGAGCCUUGAUGUGUAGGAUAGGUGGGAGGCUUUGAAGCGUGGACGCCAGUCUGCGUGGAGCCAACCUUGAAAUACCACCCUUUAAUAUUUGAUGUUCUAACGUUGGCCCCUGACCGGGGUUGCGGACAGUGUCUGGUGGGUAGUUUGACUGGGGCGGUCUCCUCCCAAAGCGUAACGGAGGAGCACGAAGGUUAGCUAAUCCUGGUCGGACAUCAGGAGGUUAGUGCAAUGGCAUAAGCUAGCUUGACUGCGAGCGUGACGGCGCGAGCAGGUGCGAAAGCAGGUCAUAGUGAUCCGGUGGUUCUGAAUGGAAGGGCCAUCGCUCAACGGAUAAAAGGUACUCCGGGGAUAACAGGCUGAUACCGCCCAAGAGUUCAUAUCGACGGCGGUGUUUGGCACCUCGAUGUCGGCUCAUCACAUCCUGGGGCUGAAGUAGGUCCCAAGGGUAUGGCUGUUCGCCAUUUAAAGUGGUACGCGAGCUGGGUUUAGAACGUCGUGAGACAGUUCGGUCCCUAUCUGCCGUGGGCGCUGGAGAAUUGAGGGGGGCUGCUCCUAGUACGAGAGGACCGGAGUGGACGCAUCACUGGUGUUCGGGUUGUCAUGCCAAUGGCACUGCCCGGUAGCUAAAUGCGGAAGAGAUAAGUGCUGAAAGCAUCUAAGCACGAAACUUGCCCCGAGAUGAGUUCUCCCUGAGACUUUAAGUCUCCUGAAGGAACGUUGAAGACGACGACGUUGAUAGGCCGGGUGUGUAAGCGCAGCGAUGCGUUGAGCUAACCGGUACUAAUGAACCGUGAGGCUUAACCUU